Molecule: long non-coding RNA, 755 nt
Organism: Alnus glutinosa
Lineage: Eukaryota; Viridiplantae; Streptophyta; Magnoliopsida; Fagales; Betulaceae
Exons: 2
Source: RefSeq, a predicted model, not a curated record
AGUUGGAGAUUAUUAUCAUCUGAGCAAAUGAGGAACUUGAUUAUAUUCCGCCAUCGAUGGCUUCUAAAAUGUUGAAGGAAGCCAUAAUUAAUUAUCUUCAAAUGCCUCUUGCAAAGUUGACUUUGGUUUAUGCAAACCAUGUAUAUGAUGAAUAUUCCAUAUAUACCUGAUAUUGCAACUGCAAAGAGUUGAAUAUAUCAACUUUUUUAGUUUUUAUUUUUUAAAUUUUUCUUUCAAGGAGUACUAUAAAUAGUGCAACGUUAACACCUCAAAAUAGAUAGAGGAAAUAUGGCUGAAGGCAACAAAGUUGGUGCAAUAUAUCUUCUCAUUUUGUGUAGUACAAUUCUACUAAGCGUGAAUCCAGCAACUGUGAGGGCAAUAGUAUGCCCUAAUGUAUGCAUGGACUAUGCAGGGUAUAUGACCUGCCCAUCUUCGGGUAGUAAGCAACUCAAUCCGCCUUGCAAUUGCUGCUAUGCUCCAAAGGGUUGCACCAUUUACCAUGCUUCUGGAACUCCAAUUUGUACUGCCACUGGGGCUUGAAUAGUUGAAGGGAUCGGUGGACAUGAUCUGAUGUUAAACAUGUUUUGUUGGAAGUCAUGUUUGAUUUGCAACAUAAAGUUAUCAGUGAGUUGUUACAGAGACGCAAAGAUCAUUAUACUGUCGUAUUAUCUUUUUGUAUUUGUUUUGCCUAUAUGAACCAACCCUUUAGCGGUUUGUAUUUAGCUUGUUCAAUAAAGUUUUAGCCUUUUGUGCUU